ACUCAAAGGAAUUGACGGGGGCCCGCACAAGCAGUGGAGUAUGUGGUUUAAUUCGAAGAUACGCGAAAAACCUUACCAGGGCUUGACAUCCCUAGAAAUCUGCGGAAACGCGGAUGUGCCUUUUUGGAACUAGGUGACAGGUGGUGCAUGGUUGUCGUCAGCUCGUGUCGUGAGAUGUUGGGUUAAGUCCCGCAACGAGCGCAACCCUUACUGUUAGUUGCUAACAUUCAGUUGAGCACUCUAAUGGGACUGCCGUUGACAAAACGGAGGAAGGUGGGGACGACGUCAAAUCAUCAUGCCCCUUAUGUCCUGGGCUACACACGUACUACAAUGGCUACUUACAACGGGCAGCGAAGGCGCGAGCCGGAGCAAAUCCCCAAAAGUAGCCCCAGUUCGGAUUGCAGGCUGAAACUCGCCUGCAUGAAGUUGGAAUUGCUAGUAAUCGCGGAUCAGCAUGCCGCGGUGAAUACGUUCCCGGGCCUUGUACACACCGCCCGU
Molecule: ribosomal RNA, 498 nt
Filed under: uncultured bacterium
Lineage: Bacteria
Description: bacterial SSU rRNA
Rfam family: Bacterial small subunit ribosomal RNA
Source: RNAcentral